Molecule: RNA transcript, 967 nt
Organism: Dermacentor silvarum
Lineage: Eukaryota; Metazoa; Arthropoda; Arachnida; Ixodida; Ixodidae
Exons: 3
Source: RefSeq, a predicted model, not a curated record
CGGCUCGAUGGUUGACUAUAUCACUUCAGAUGGAGCAACAUGGAAUCGAAAAAUGUGGAACAUACUUGGUGUAGGGGCAUCUGCAACCAGCACACAGUGUAGUGUUCGACAUCCUGUAGAUCCAGAGCGGCGACUGCAUUUUUAUGUGAUUUUUCCCAUUUGAUAAAGUGCUUGUGCAAUGGGCUACUUGGAUCUGGCUACCUGCUGCCAGAUGGUCCUGUGACACUUCGACCAGUACGCUCAGGUAUUGCCAAGGAUGGCAACAACGUGGCAAGGCCGGCCCUGCAGGCCCUGCACGGCAUAACAUCAAGCCACACGAACCCCAAUAGUUUUGAAGUUCAGAGAGUGUCGCUAGCCUUCCAACUGUUCAGCGACAAAAUGACUCAAGGACUGCGGCUGCACAGGGCGGCAAUUGAGGAUACCUGCGGCGACAUAUCUGCGACACUGCAUUUCUUUGAGACAAUUCGUGCCCUCAUCCAAGUUAUGACUUCUCGCUUUGCUGCUGAGGCUCUGCGCCAAAGAUCUACAUCCGUCGACAAGCUACAUUCUUUUUUGGCACUUCUAACAAGUUGGGAGCUCCAUACCAAAGGAAAGCAGGGCUUCUUAAGCAGGUCACCCGCUACAGGGUUGCGGGUGACAUUGUCAAGUGUGCUGUCACUCUUGGACUACCUAACUGAAAGUGUAGGUUUUAAGUACCUCAUGACUAGUCGGCUAAGCCAGGAUCCUGUUGAGCACCUGUUUGGUAUCGUGCGUCAGUCCUCCGGCUGCAAGUCCCUACACCUCAGCAGUUUGUCGUUACUGUAAACUGCCUUUCUUUCAGUAACCUUUCAGUAACCUCGCCCAUUCUGUCUCUAAGGGAAAUUGUGAACCCAGUGUCAUCAGUGCCUUGUUGGAUGCAGAUGCCAGACAGCAAGCCUCUCCAAGGGGAAGGCAGGAACUCAUCAACAAGUUCUUGGAGGCUGGCAAC